AUUGAACGCUGGCGGCAGGCCUAACACAUGCAAGUCGAGCGGAGCGGCGGACGGGUGAGUAAUGCCUAGGAAUCUGCCUGGUAGUGUGGGAUAACGUCCGCAAACGGGCGCUUAUACCGCAUACUAUCAGAUGAGCCUAGGUCGGAUUAGCUAGUUGGAGGGGAAAAGGCCUACCAAGGCGACGAUCCGUAACUGGUCUGAGGGGAUGGUCAGUCACACUGGAGCUGAUGCACGGUCCAGAGCCCGAAGGGAGGCAGCAGGAGGGAAUAUUGGAAAAGGGGCGAAAACCAGGUACAGGCAUGCCGCGUGUGUGAAGAAGGUCUUCGGAUUGUAAAGCACUAUAAGUAGGGAGGAAUUACCAGCAGAAUAAGCACAAGCUAACUUCGUGCCAGCAGCCGAGGUAAUAU
RNAcentral lists this ribosomal RNA (407 nucleotides) under uncultured bacterium. Its description in RNAcentral is "partial 16S ribosomal RNA". It matches the Rfam family "Bacterial small subunit ribosomal RNA", at positions 29 to 526 of the family's 1533-position model. The record is from RNAcentral.